RNA transcript from Mastomys coucha (southern multimammate mouse), 412 nucleotides. It is a transcript of the gene named 40S ribosomal protein S27-like, with no coding region annotated. The record is from RefSeq and is a predicted model, not a curated record. NCBI's taxonomy places the organism in Eukaryota, Metazoa, Chordata, Mammalia, Rodentia, Muridae. The transcript has a single exon.
AUGCCGCUGGCUAGAGAUCUAUAACACCCUUCCUUGGAAGAGGAGAAGAAAAAACAUAAGAAGAAACGGCUAGUUCAGAGCCCAAAUUCUUACUUCAUGGAUGUGAAAUGUCCAGGUUGCUACAAGAUCACUACAGUCUUCAGCCAUGCUCAGACAGUAGUUCUUUGUGUGGGCUGUUCAACUGUGCUGUGCCAGCCCACAGGAGGAAAAGCCAGGCUCACAGAAGGCUGUUCAUUUAGAAGAAAGCAACACUAAUCAUCUAUACAAGGUCCUGAAUUUGUGUUUUUCACAGAAAGCCUUAUCAACUUCAGUUAUUCUACCAAGACAAUGUAAUUAUUGUUUGAUUUUAUAAAGUCUACAACAAUGAUCUCCUAUUUUGGUGUCGGUUUUUCAAUAAAGUUUUAAUUAUGGA